CAGCCGCCGCGGGAACACGAAGGGUGCAAGCGUUACUCGGAAUUACUGGGCGUAAAGCGUGCGUAGGUGGUGGUUUAAGUCCGUUGUGAAAGCCCUGGGCUCAACCUGGGAAUUGCAGUGGAUACUGGGUCACUAGAGUGUGGUAGAGGAUAGUGGAAUUUCCGGUGUAGCAGUGAAAUGCGUAGAGAUCGGAAGGAACAUCUGUGGCGAAGGCGACUAUCUGGGCCAACACUGACACUGAGGCACGAAAGCGUGGGGAGCAAACAGGAUUAGAUACCCCAGUAGUCCCUGUCUCUUAUAC
Molecule: ribosomal RNA, 301 nt
Filed under: uncultured bacterium
Lineage: Bacteria
Description: partial 16S ribosomal RNA
Rfam family: Bacterial small subunit ribosomal RNA
Source: RNAcentral